GCGCGCCGCGCGUCAACCGGACGCGGCGGCAUGGGGAACGGAGAUGGUUUUUCCGGUUUCCCGCUCCGGCCAACGAAGUGGCAGCCGAGCCCCUGUCCCGCCCGUUGG
This 108-nucleotide small RNA is filed under the name Devosia enhydra. RNAcentral's name for it is "Prosthecomicrobium enhydrum Rhizobiales sRNA Atu_At1". It matches the Rfam family "Rhizobiales sRNA Atu_At1". Lineage: Bacteria; Pseudomonadati; Pseudomonadota; Alphaproteobacteria; Hyphomicrobiales; Devosiaceae. The record is from Rfam by way of RNAcentral.